GUGAUCACUUUGGCAACACACAGACUAGAACUGGAGCAAUGCAGAGAUUAGCCUGGCCUCUGUGCAAGAAUGACAUGGAAAUUCAUGAACCAUUCCGUCAUUUU
Budorcas taxicolor (takin) is the source of this 104-nucleotide small nuclear RNA. The record is from RefSeq and is a predicted model, not a curated record. Lineage: Eukaryota; Metazoa; Chordata; Mammalia; Artiodactyla; Bovidae.